CCUCAAAGCACUGAAAGUAGUUCAGGACAGCUUCACAGUUCUGAUCAUUAAACUUUGGUACAUUAAACAGGCAAAGGGAAAAGAUAGGAUAAAAGGAGAUAUUACACUAUCCAUUACCCUCCUAACUUACAAAA
Molecule: small nucleolar RNA, 134 nt
Organism: Suncus etruscus (white-toothed pygmy shrew)
Lineage: Eukaryota; Metazoa; Chordata; Mammalia; Eulipotyphla; Soricidae
Source: RefSeq, a predicted model, not a curated record